GUUUCUGGAGGAGAAGACUUGACACAUGGCUUCAAUCUCCUUUCUCUGGCGGCAUGUGAAUCCAGCCAGUUGGCAGAUUCCAGGUCUGUAGCAGAAAUAUAGGCUGCUUUUCUUGCACUGAGCUUGGGUUCUGCUGUUAUAGCAGAAACGAGCUUCUCACAACACGUGAAAUGUAAUCUAAUAGGAGAAGAAAAGAAAUAAGGCAGGAGUGGCAGAGGUGAGGAGCACAUGGAGCCAUAUGUAGAUUACAGAUAAUAUAAUAUCAAAAUAAUACAGAGCUAAUAUUGCCAAUUGUUAUACAGGUAGCUAUCCAUAAAAACAGGAGCUUUCACCAUUUCAGUUGUUCAUGUAAUGUAGCAUCUGUUCAAAACCCAACAUUGUUGCAAUAUUUGAUUCUUUCAGGCUUUAAUAAUUUUUAUCUAAGAUGGCUAUGAUCAAAAAUACAUUAUUUCUUAUCCUUUUUUUUGUAUGUGAAUUGAACUGGAUGGAGUCAGAUAUCUGGGAAUUCUAAUAUAGUUCCACUGUCUGUUAGUUAUAUGGUAUUAGACAACUAACUUAUCUCAUUGGACAUCA
This 573-nucleotide long non-coding RNA is filed under the name Homo sapiens (human). Its description in RNAcentral is "HSALNT0335275". The record is from RNAcentral. Lineage: Eukaryota; Metazoa; Chordata; Mammalia; Primates; Hominidae.